UGUCUUCAGGGCGGGGUGAAAUUCCCCACUGGCGGUACAGUCCGCGACCCACAGGGCGUUUGCUCUGUGGCUGACCCGGUGAAACUCCGGGACCAACGGUUACAGUCCGGAUGGAAGAGGAUG
RNAcentral lists this non-coding RNA (123 nucleotides) under Candidatus Enterenecus avicola. RNAcentral describes it as "FMN riboswitch (RFN element)". It matches the Rfam family "FMN riboswitch aptamer (RFN element)". Rfam says of the family: The RFN element is a highly conserved domain that is found frequently in the 5'-untranslated regions of prokaryotic mRNAs that encode for flavin mononucleotide (FMN) biosynthesis and transport proteins. The record is from RNAcentral. Lineage: Bacteria; Bacillati; Bacillota; Clostridia; Eubacteriales.